GACUUAGCUUCGGCGAAGGUCUUAAUUGAAGCCCCAGUGAACGGCGGCCGUAACUAUAACGGUCCUAAGGUAGCGAAAUUCCUUGUCGGGUAAGUUCCGACCCGCAUGAAAGGCGUAAUGAUUUGGGCGCUGUCUCAACAAUAGACUCGGUGAAAUUUAAAUUCCAGUGAAGAUGCUGGGUACCCGCGACAGGACGGAAAGACCCCGUGGAGCUUUACUGUAGCUUGAUAUUGAAUGUUUGUGCUGCAUGUGCAGGAUAGGUAGGAGACUUUGAAGUCGGAACGCUAGUUUCGAUUGAGUCACCCUUGAGAUACUACCCCUGUUGUAUGAACGUUCUAACUCUGAUCAGUUAUCCUGAUCGAAGACAGUGUCUGGCAGGCAGUUUGACUGGGGCGGUCGCCUCCUAAAAGAUAACGGAGGCGCUCAAAGGUUUGCUCAGAAUGGUUGGAAAUCAUUCGUAGCGUGUAAAGGCAUAAGCAAGCUUGACUGUGAGACUGACAAGUCGAGCAGGUACGAAAGUAGGACUUAGUGAUCCGGUGGUUCCGUAUGGAAGGGCCAUCGCUCAACGGACAAAAGCUACCCCGGGGAUAACAGGCUCAUCUCCCCCAAGAGUCCACAUCGACGGGGAGGUUUGGCACCUCGAUGUCGGCUCAUCGCAUCCUGGGGCUGUAGUCGGUCCCAAGGGUUGGGCUGUUCGCCCAUUAAAGCGGUACGCGAGCUGGGUUCAGAACGUCGUGAGACAGUUCGGUCCCUAUCCGUCGUGGGCGCAGGAAAUUUGAGAGGAUCUGUCCUUAGUACGAGAGGACCGGGAUGGACAUACCUCUGGUGUACCAGUUGUUCUGCCAAGAGCACCGCUGGGUAGCUACGUAUGGAUUAGAUAAUCGCUGAAAGCAUCUAAGUGAGAAACUAACCUCGAGAUGAGAUUUCCCAUUCGUCAGAAGUAAGACCCCUGAGAGACGAUCAGGUAGAUAGGCUAGAAGUGGAAGUGUAGUGAUGCAUGGAGCGGACUAGUACUAAUAGGUCGAGGACUUAACCAAG
RNAcentral lists this ribosomal RNA (1038 nucleotides) under Oenococcus oeni. RNAcentral's name for it is "bacterial LSU rRNA". It matches the Rfam family "Bacterial large subunit ribosomal RNA", at positions 1887 to 2925 of the family's 2925-position model. Lineage: Bacteria; Bacillati; Bacillota; Bacilli; Lactobacillales; Lactobacillaceae. The record is from RNAcentral.